This 450-nucleotide ribosomal RNA is filed under the name uncultured bacterium. RNAcentral's name for it is "partial 16S ribosomal RNA". It matches the Rfam family "Bacterial small subunit ribosomal RNA", at positions 354 to 796 of the family's 1533-position model. The record is from RNAcentral.
GUGGGGAAUUUUGGACAAUGGGCGAAAGCCUGAUCCAGCAAUGCCGCGUGCAGGAUGAAGGCCCUCGGGUUGUAAACUGCUUUUGUACGGAACGAAAAGCCUGGGGCUAAUAUCCCCGGGUCAUGACGGUACCGUAAGAAUAAGCACCGGCUAACUACGUGCCAGCAGCCGCGGUAAUACGUAGGGUGCAAGCGUUAAUCGGAAUUACUGGGCGUAAAGCGUGCGCAGGCGGUUUUGUAAGACAGUGGUGAAAUCCCCGGGCUCAACCUGGGAACUGCCAUUGUGACUGCAAAGCUAGAGUGCGGCAGAGGGGGAUGGAAUUCCGCGUGUAGCAGUGAAAUGCGUAGAUAUGCGGAGGAACACCGAUGGCGAAGGCAAUCCCCUGGGCCUGCACUGACGCUCAUGCACGAAAGCGUGGGGAGCAAACAGGAUUAGAAACCCCGGUAGUCC